RNAcentral lists this ribosomal RNA (520 nucleotides) under uncultured Glomus. Its description in RNAcentral is "SSU rRNA". It matches the Rfam family "Eukaryotic small subunit ribosomal RNA", at positions 569 to 1092 of the family's 1831-position model. The record is from RNAcentral. Lineage: Eukaryota; Fungi; Glomeromycota; Glomeromycetes; Glomerales; Glomeraceae.
AGCAGCCGCGGUAAUUCCAGCUCCAAUAGCGUAUAUUAAAGUUGUUGCAGUUAAAAAGCUCGUAGUUGAAUUUCGAGAUCAAAUUGUUGGUCGUGCCUUGGUACGUACUGGCAUUAUUGGUUUCCCCCUUCUGAAGAACCAUGAUGUCAUUAAUUUGGUGUCAUGGGGAAUCAGGACUGUUACUUUGAAAAAAUUAGGGUGUUUAAAGCAGGCUCGCGCUUGAAUACAUUAGCAUGGAAUAAUGAAAUAGGACGUUUAAUUCUAUUUUGUUGGUUUCUAGGAUUGACGUAAUGAUUAAUAGGGAUAGUUGGGGGCAUUAGUAUUCAAUUGUCAGAGGUGAAAUUCUUGGAUUUAUUGAAGACUAACUACUGCGAAAGCAUUUGCCAAGGAUGUUUUCAUUAAUCAAGAACGAAAGUUAGGGGAUCGAAGACGAUCAGAUACCGUCGUAGUCUUAACCAUAAACUAUGCCGACUAGGGAUCGGAUGAUGUUAAUUUUUAAUGACUCAUUCGGCGCCUUAAC